RNAcentral lists this transfer RNA (72 nucleotides) under Candidatus Woesearchaeota archaeon. Its description in RNAcentral is "tRNA-Tyr". It matches the Rfam family "tRNA". From Rfam's summary of the family: Transfer RNA (tRNA) molecules are approximately 80 nucleotides in length. Their secondary structure includes four short double-helical elements and three loops (D, anti-codon, and T loops). The record is from RNAcentral. Lineage: Archaea; Nanobdellati; Candidatus Woesearchaeota.
CCCGCGGUAGCUCAACGGUAGAGCGUACGGCUGUAGACCGUAGUGUUGGGAGUUCGAUUCUCUCUCGCGGGA